RNAcentral lists this unclassified non-coding RNA (300 nucleotides) under Phylloporus sp. RNAcentral's name for it is "partial contains small subunit ribosomal RNA, internal transcribed spacer 1, and 5.8S ribosomal RNA". The stretch from base 1 to 46 matches the Rfam family "Eukaryotic small subunit ribosomal RNA", at positions 1786 to 1831 of the family's 1831-position model. The record is from RNAcentral. Lineage: Eukaryota; Fungi; Basidiomycota; Agaricomycetes; Boletales; Boletaceae.
AAGUCGUAACAAGGUUUCCGUAGGUGAACCUGCGGAAGGAUCAUUAAUGAUACCUAGAGCUCCCUCGUCCGCGAGUGUCGUCAGGGUGGUUGAGGAUUUUCCUCCCGAAAUAGCCCUGGCGCCCUCCCGGCCGAGAUGUUCUACAUCACACCCUUUGACUACAUACCUUUGUUGCUUUGGUGGGCCGCCCCUCGGGGCGUGGGCUUCGGCCCGCCGCGCCCGCCAGAGGACCGAAACUCUUGUGUUUAGUGAUGUCUGAGUACUAUAUAAUAGUUAAAACUUUCAACAACGGAUCUCUUG